GCAGCACGCACGCACCCAUCUCCCUGCGCGAGGAACAUCACCAUCACCAUCUCGUCCUCAUGGCCGCACUCCACCCUCAGUCUCUCGAUCGAUCAUUCUCCAUCCUUCUCCCUCAGUCUCUCCUUGUUUCUUCUUCGGUUCCCCCUAUCUCUUCUCUGCAACUCACCUUCUCCCUCAGUCUCUCCUUGUUUCUUCUUCGGUUCUCCUCCCCAUUUCUUCUUCGGCUGCCGUUGCGAUGACGACGGAGGAUCCUCGGCGAUAUUAUGGCUAAUAUCGCGAUAAUAUCGCUAAUAUCGCGAUAUUAUUACGAUAAUUAAGUGUAAACGUUGAAAAUAUCGCUAUGUAAAAAUAACGAUAUUAUCGGCGAUAUUUUGCCGAUAAUAUCGAUAUUUUCUUCCCUGGUCUCAUCUUUAAUACCUUUGACUUUUCUUCUUGCCAUGGGCAUGAGGGCUUGAAGAAGUUGUAAUCAGUAACUCAGGUUUUCUUGAGUUGAACUGCACGUUAAACAGAUGUGGGUCUCGUCAAUUUAAUGUGGGAAUUUUCAUCACUUUUGAGUAAAAGUUCACGUAUUAACUCCAUUAUUUUCUGUAUUACUUUUUGCUCAACAAGUUUGUGCUUUCAUUUAAAAAAAAAACACAUUUAUGCUUUCAUUUAAAUAUAUGUUGUGAAAUGUCAAAGCUUGAAUUAUACAUUCGAAUAAAAAUUCACUUGAUAGAUAAUGGGAUGUCUGAGAUUGAUAAUGUGCAUCAUAACAAGCACUCAAUACUAAUUAGGAAAGAAAUUAAAAUGGAAAAAAUAAAAAAGAAUGAACAAUUAUUUAUGGGUUUUGUCUGAUAAUUGUUUGUAUGGACUCAAAGACUAAAAGACAACCCAUAUGAUUGGUCUGUCUUGAAUUGAAGGUGCCGCAUGAACUUGUAUGGGCUUGUACAAUGAUUGGCCCU
Molecule: long non-coding RNA, 941 nt
Filed under: Malus domestica (apple)
Lineage: Eukaryota; Viridiplantae; Streptophyta; Magnoliopsida; Rosales; Rosaceae
Description: long non-coding RNA (MDOM_LNC018035)
Source: RNAcentral